RNAcentral lists this ribosomal RNA (460 nucleotides) under uncultured bacterium. RNAcentral describes it as "partial 16S ribosomal RNA". It matches the Rfam family "Bacterial small subunit ribosomal RNA", at positions 338 to 795 of the family's 1533-position model. The record is from RNAcentral.
CCUACGGGUGGCUGCAGUGAGGAAUAUUGGUCAAUGGACGAGAGUCUGAACCAGCCAAGUAGCGUGAAGGAUGACUGCCCUAUGGGUUGUAAACUUCUUUUAUAUGGGAAUAAAAUGUUCCACGUGUGGGAUUUUGUAUGUACCAUAUGAAUAAGGAUCGGCUAACUCCGUGCCAGCAGCCGCGGUAAUACGGAGGAUCCGAGCGUUAUCCGGCUUUUUUGGGUUUAAAGGGAGGGGAGGUGGAUUGUUAAGUCAGUUGUGAAAGUGUGCGGAUCAACCGUAAAAUUGCAGUUGAAACUGGCAGUCUUGAGUACAGUAGAGGUGGGCGGAAUUCGUGGUGUAGCGGUGAAAUGCUUAGAUAUUACGAAGAACUCCGAUUGCGAAGGCAGUUCACUGGACUGCAACUGACACUGAGGCUCGAAAGUGUGGGUAUCAAACAGGAUUAGAUACCCCUGUAGUC